Oncorhynchus keta (chum salmon) is the source of this 150-nucleotide long non-coding RNA. RefSeq lists it as uncharacterized. The record is from RefSeq and is a predicted model, not a curated record. NCBI's taxonomy places the organism in Eukaryota, Metazoa, Chordata, Actinopteri, Salmoniformes, Salmonidae. The transcript has 3 exons.
GGGCAGUGCAGGUCAGGGAAAAGAUGUGGGGCUGGUUGGGCAGUGCAGGUCAUGGUAAAGAUGUGGGGCUGGUUGGGCAGUGCAGGUCAGGGAAAAGAUGUGGGGCUGGUUGGGCAGUGCAGGUCAUGGUAAAGAUGUGGGGCUGGUUGG